RNAcentral lists this long non-coding RNA (639 nucleotides) under Physcomitrium patens. RNAcentral describes it as "long non-coding RNA (PPAT_LNC007177)". Lineage: Eukaryota; Viridiplantae; Streptophyta; Bryopsida; Funariales; Funariaceae. The record is from RNAcentral.
AAUAUUAAAUCAAUAAUCCUAUCUCUUCCAAUUUCUUCUUUUAUUUAUUUUUUUCUCCUAUAUUAUGAUAAUAAUAUGUAAAUUAUUGCAUAUUCUAAACAGUCAAUAUACACUGAUUCAAUAGUUCGAACAUUAAAAAUUCUCACUAUCCUAGAUUUUAAAACUAAUUUUUCCUUUUGAUAUUCUAAAAUUGAUCUAUCAAUCUUCAAUUUUUUGACAAAUAAAAACAACGUGGGUAGUACCAAGCUUAUUUUGGCUCAUGAUUUUCAUAGUUUGAUGCACUAUACUUUCAUUCUAACUAUUUUAUAUCUAAAACAGAGAUUUCAAUUAAUAUUUCUUACUUAAUUGCUUUUCUUGACUUAAUCAUCUAUCCUACCUCCUAAAUUAACUUCUUGAUGGAUGAUUAAUAUAUUUAUCUAUUUCUUAUCAAUGUUCUACAGAAAUCAAUUUCUAUCUAUUCUACAUAGCUUUACUUUUCACUGUGUAGUGCCCUCACAAAUACAUUAUUUACAAUAUGGCUUGCCAAAUUUUAUUCUAUUGUUUCAAUCGACUUUUCACCUGUUGGCUCAUGUCGUAUCUCCUGCUGAUCUUCAUCUACUUCAAUUUUUGUAGACAAUUUACUCUUUAUAUCCUCCACUC